Molecule: ribosomal RNA, 494 nt
Filed under: uncultured bacterium
Lineage: Bacteria
Description: partial 16S ribosomal RNA
Rfam family: Bacterial small subunit ribosomal RNA
Source: RNAcentral
GACGAACGCUGGCGGCGUGCUUAACACAUGCAAGUCGAACGGUGAAGCGCCUUCCUUUUUGGUGGGUGUGGAUGAGUGGCGAACGGGUGAGUAACACGUGAGUAACCUGCCCCCUUCUUCUGGAUAACCGCAUGAAAGUGUGGCUAAUACGGGAUAUUCUGGUUCUGUCGCAUGAUGGGUCUGGGAAAGAUAUUGUUUCGGUGGGGGAUGGGCUCGCGGCCUAUCAGCUUGUUGGUGGGGUGAUGGCCUACCAAGGCGGUGACGGGUAGCCGGCCUGAGAGGGUGGACGGUCACACUGGGACUGAGACACGGCCCAGACUGCGACGGGAGGCAGCAGUGGGGAAUAUUGCACAAUGGGCGCAAGCCUGAUGCAGCGACGCCGCGUGAGGGAUGGAGGCCUUCGGGUUGUGAACCUCUUUCGCCAGUGAAGCAGGCCUGCCUGGUUUGUGGGUGGGUUGACGGUAGCUGGAUAAGAAGCGCCGGCUAACUACGUG